This 56-nucleotide transfer RNA is filed under the name Loxodonta africana (African savanna elephant). It matches the Rfam family "tRNA", at positions 8 to 63 of the family's 71-position model. From Rfam's summary of the family: Transfer RNA (tRNA) molecules are approximately 80 nucleotides in length. Their secondary structure includes four short double-helical elements and three loops (D, anti-codon, and T loops). Further hydrogen bonds mediate the characteristic L-shaped molecular structure. tRNAs have two regions of fundamental functional importance: the anti-codon, which is responsible for specific mRNA codon recognition, and the 3' end, to which the tRNAs corresponding amino acid is attached (by aminoacyl-tRNA synthetases). tRNAs cope with the degeneracy of the genetic code in two manners: having more than one tRNA (with a specific anti-codon) for a particular amino acid; and 'wobble' base-pairing, i.e. permitting non-standard base-pairing at the 3rd anti-codon position. The record is from Rfam by way of RNAcentral. Lineage: Eukaryota; Metazoa; Chordata; Mammalia; Proboscidea; Elephantidae.
UGGCUCAGUGGUUAAGUGUUUGGCUGCUAACCAAAAGUUGGCAGUUCGAAUCUACC